Eptesicus fuscus (big brown bat) is the source of this 710-nucleotide long non-coding RNA. RefSeq lists it as uncharacterized. NCBI's taxonomy places the organism in Eukaryota, Metazoa, Chordata, Mammalia, Chiroptera, Vespertilionidae. The record is from RefSeq and is a predicted model, not a curated record. The transcript has 4 exons.
CCCACCAUGGAUCCCUCAGUCCUGCUGGCCUUUCCCUUGCUCCUGGCUCUGUCCACACCUUGCAGUGCUUGUCAAUGUAAACUUCAGCACCCUCAGGAAUAUUACUGCACGUCAGACAUUGAUCCUCAAGAGGCCCAGGAAACUCCCAAGACUCAAUAAUAUCUAUACCCCUCUUCGUUCAGAUGACUGUGGAUAUCAGGAAACAUUGUUUAACCGCAUACAGUACCUUGUUGCAGGCUUUGUGAGGGCCGAAAAAAUGAUCUUCACAAGGUGCCAUAUAAUGUAUUACAUGGUCAGGCUCACCACAGAGCAUACAGUAGGUUUCCUGGGAGCAUACAAAAGAGGCUGCAAAUGUCACGUUCAACCCUGCUUCCUCUACUCACUUGGCUGCCCGGAAGCUGAUCUCACAGACUGUGUGUGGGAACAAAGAAAUUGUCAAUAUAACGUUUGGAGCGAAAACCACUCCUUAAACUCCAUGUGUGUCCCCUCCACAGAUGGUCACUGUGAGUGGACUGGAGUCCAAGCCUGAGCUCCAGCAACUGUUCCAAGCAUGACUCCUCAGGUUCUGCCCUAGGGUUUUAAUAUUCUAUUGCUGGAUCUGGCCAAUGAAAACAGAACUGAGUUGUACACCUAAGUUUUGCUUACUUUCUGCAAGCAGUGUAUGCAUCCAUAAAAUCUACAAAAAAAUAAAUCCCAGACUGAGACUGUGA